Molecule: ribosomal RNA, 480 nt
Filed under: Chromis retrofasciata (black-bar chromis)
Lineage: Eukaryota; Metazoa; Chordata; Actinopteri; Pomacentridae
Description: partial small subunit ribosomal RNA
Rfam family: Bacterial small subunit ribosomal RNA
Source: RNAcentral
CAUUAUGCUCAGCCGUAAACUUUGAUAGAUCAUUACAUCCGCUAUCCGCCCGGGUACUACGAGCAUCAGCUUAAAACCCAAAGGACUUGGCGGUGCUUAACAUCCACCUAGAGGAGCCUGUCCUAGAACCGAUAAUCCCCGUUAAACCUCACCCUCCCUUGCUCCUUCCCGCCUAUAUACCGCCGUCGUCAGUUUGCCCUUUGAAGGUCCCGUAGCAAGCACAAUUGGUACCGCCCAGAACGUCAGGUCGAGGUGUAGCUUAUGAGAGGGGAUGAGAUGGGCUACAUUUCCUGAAACAGGAUAUACGGAUAGUGAUUCUGAAAUGAACACUAGAAGGAGGAUUUAGUAGUAAGUAGAAAACAGAGAGUUCUGCUGAACCUGGCUCUUAAGCGUGCACACACCGCCCGUCACUCUCCCCGAGCAUAAUUAUGAACCCAUAAUUAAUACCCUAUUGAUUGCGUCAGGGGAGGCAAGUCGUAA